This is a non-coding RNA of Trichonephila clavipes, 73 nucleotides long. Lineage: Eukaryota; Metazoa; Arthropoda; Arachnida; Araneae; Nephilidae. The record is from the annotation of a GenBank genome assembly.
GUCCCUGCAGCGCAAUGGAUAGCGCAUUGGACUUCUAAUCUAACGGUUGUGGGAUCGAAACCCCCCUGGGAUG